AAUCAACGCUGGCGGCGUGCCUCAGACAUGCAAGUCGAACGCGAAAGUUUCCCUUCGGGGAAGCAAGUAGAGUGGCGUCCGGGUGAGUAACACGUAGGUAAUCUACCUUUGGGUGGGAAUAACAACCGGAAACGGUUGCUAAUACCGCAUAAUGCAGCGGCAUCACAUGAUGACAGUUGUUAACGCGGGGGAUCGCAAGACCUCGCGCCUAAAGAGGAGCCUGCGGCGGAUUAGCUAGUUGGUAGGGUAACGGCCUACCAAGGCAACGAUCCGUAGCCGGCCUGAGGAGGGCGGUCGGCCACACUGACACUGAAAUACGGGUCAGACUCCUACGGGAGGCAGCAGUCGGGAAUUUUGGGCAAUGGGCGAAAGCCUGACCCAGCAACGCCGCGUGAAGGAUGAAAUCCCUCGGGAUGUAAACUUCGCAAGAACGGGAAGAAUAAGUGGAAGUUAAUACCUUCCAUGAUGACGGUUACCGUUU
RNAcentral lists this ribosomal RNA (481 nucleotides) under uncultured bacterium. RNAcentral's name for it is "bacterial SSU rRNA". It matches the Rfam family "Bacterial small subunit ribosomal RNA", at positions 32 to 483 of the family's 1533-position model. The record is from RNAcentral.